UGAACGCUGGCGGUCUGCUUAACACAUGCAAGUCGAACGGGUGUAGCAAUACAUUAGUGGCGGACGGGUGAGUAACGCGUGAGAAUCUACCUUCAGGACGGAGACAACAGUUGGAAACGACUGCUAACCCCCGAUGUACCGAAAGGGCAAAUAUUUAUAGCCUGAAGAAGAGCUCGCGUCCGAUUAGCUAGUUGGAGAGGUAAAAGCUCACCAAGGCGACGAUCGGUAGCUGGUCUGAGAGGACGAUCAGCCACACUGGGACUGAGACACGGCCCAGACUCCUACGGGGGGCAGCAGUGGGGAAUUUUCCGCAAUUGGCGCAAGCCUGACGGAGCAAGACCGCGUGGGGGAAGAAGGCUCUUGGGUUGUAAACUCCUUUUCUCUGGGAAGAACAAAAUGACGGUACCAGAGGAAUCAGCAUCGGCUAACUCCGUGCCAGCAGCCGCGGUAAGACGGAGGAUGCAAGCGUUAUCCGGAAUGAUUGGGCGUAAAGCGUCCGCAGGUGGCAGUUCAAGUCUGCUGUCAAAGACCGGGGCUUAACCUCGGAAAGGCAGUGGAAACUGAACAGCUAGAGUAUGGUAGGGGCAAAGGGAAUUCCUGGUGUAGCGGUGAAAUGCGUAGAGAUCAGGAAGAACAUCGGUGGCGAAGGCGCUUUGCUGGACCAUAACUGACACUCAGGGACGAAAGCUAGGGGAGCGAAUGGGAUUAGAUACCCCAGUAGUCCUAGCCGUAAACGAUGGAUACUAGGUGUUGUUUGUAUCGACCCGGACAGUGCCGUAGCUAACGCGUUAAGUAUCCCGCCUGGGGAGUACGCACGCAAGUGUGAAACUCAAAGGAAUUGACGGGGGCCCGCACAAGCGGUGGAGUAUGUGGUUUAAUUCGAUGCAACGCGAAGAACCUUACCAGGACUUGACAUGUCGCGAAUCCUCCUGAAAGGGAGGAGUGCCUUCGGGAGCGCGAACACAGGUGGUGCAUGGCUGUCGUCAGUUCGUGUCGUGAGAUGUUGGGUUAAGUCCCGCAACGAGCGCAACCCUCGUGUUUAGUUGCCAUCAUUCAGUUGGGCACUCUAAACAGACUGCCGGUGACAAACCGGAGGAAGGUGGGGAUGACGUCAAGUCAGCAUGCCCCUUACGUCCUGGGCUACACACGUACUACAAUGGUAGGGACAGAGGGCAGCGAAGCCGCGAGGUGAAGCGAAUCCCAUAAAACCGGUCUCAGUUCGGAUUGCAGGCUGAAACUCGCCUGCAUGAAGUCGGAAUCGCUAGUAAACGCAGAUCAGCAUGCUGCGUUGAAUACGUUCCCGGGCCUUGUACACACCGCCCGUCACACCACGAAAGUUUGUUCAACCCGAAGUCGGUGAGCUAACCGUAAGGAAGCAGCCGCCUAAGGUGGGGCAGAUGAUUGGGGUGAAGUCGUAACAAGGUA
RNAcentral lists this ribosomal RNA (1425 nucleotides) under metagenome. RNAcentral describes it as "bacterial SSU rRNA". It matches the Rfam family "Bacterial small subunit ribosomal RNA". The record is from RNAcentral.